UAACUGAAGAGUUUGAUCAUGGCUCAGAUUGAACGCUGGCGGCAGGCUUAACACAUGCAAGUCGAGCGGGGAAGAGUAGCUUGCUACUUUACCUAGCGGCGGACGGGUGAGUAAUGCUUAGGAAUCUGCCUAUUAGUGGGGGACAACAUUUCGAAAGGAAUGCUAAUACCGCAUACGUCCUACGGGAGAAAGCAGGGGACC
This 201-nucleotide ribosomal RNA is filed under the name Candidatus Kurthia equi. RNAcentral's name for it is "partial 16S ribosomal RNA". It matches the Rfam family "Bacterial small subunit ribosomal RNA", at positions 1 to 212 of the family's 1533-position model. Lineage: Bacteria; Bacillati; Bacillota; Bacilli; Caryophanales; Caryophanaceae. The record is from RNAcentral.